Molecule: ribosomal RNA, 466 nt
Filed under: uncultured bacterium
Lineage: Bacteria
Description: SSU rRNA
Rfam family: Bacterial small subunit ribosomal RNA
Source: RNAcentral
AGGAUUAACGCUGGCGGCGUGCCUAACACAUGCAAGUCGAACGAGGUAGCAAUACCUAGUGGCAGACGGGUGAGUAACGCGUGGUCAACCUACCGUUGAGUGGGGGAUAACUAGCCGAAAGGUUAGCUAAUACCGCAUACGAGUCUUGGGGGCAUCCCUGGGACUUAAAAAGGAGCAAUCCGCUCGAUGACGGGACCGCGUCCCAUUAGCUAGAUGGUGGGGUAACGGCCUACCAUGGCACCGAUGGGUAGCUGGUUUGAGAGAGCGACCAGCCACACUGGGACUGAGAAACGGCCCAGACUCCUACGGGAGGCAGCAGUGAGGAAUUUUCCGCAAUGGGCGAAAGCCUGACGGAGCGACGCCGCGUGUGGGAAGAAGGCCUUCGGGUCGUAAACCACUGUCGAAGGGACGAUAAUGACGGUACCCUUGGAGGGAACGCCCCGGCUAACUACGCGCCAGCAGCCGC